UACAGAGGUCCCGAGCGUUGUUCGGAUUCACUGGGCGUAAAGGGUGCGUAGGUGGUGAGGUAAGUCGGAUGUGAAAUCUCCGGGCUCAACCCGGAAAUGGCAUUGGAAACUACCUUGCUGGAGGAUUUGAGGGGGGAUUGGAAUACUUGGUGUAGCAGUGAAAUGCGUAGAUAUUCGGAAGAACACCAGUGGCGAAGGCGGCUCACUGGACCGGUAUUGACGCUGAGGUGCGAAAGCGUGGGGAGCAAACAGG
This 253-nucleotide ribosomal RNA is filed under the name uncultured bacterium. Its description in RNAcentral is "partial 16S ribosomal RNA". It matches the Rfam family "Bacterial small subunit ribosomal RNA", at positions 524 to 776 of the family's 1533-position model. The record is from RNAcentral.